Long non-coding RNA from Episyrphus balteatus (marmalade hoverfly), 619 nucleotides. RefSeq lists it as uncharacterized. NCBI's taxonomy places the organism in Eukaryota, Metazoa, Arthropoda, Insecta, Diptera, Syrphidae. The transcript has 3 exons. The record is from RefSeq and is a predicted model, not a curated record.
UCCAGAAUUGGCUUAGGGAAUAAUCUAAGGAUUAUCUCAGGUUUUCCAUAUGGGCUUGUGCACGCUAAAAAGGCACCUCAACUUUCUUGUCUUGGAAAAUAGUACCUACCUACCUUGGUUCUAACCAGGCUGAAGAAAGGCAAAAAUAUCAUGAGUGUACCUCAAAUACUAAAUUUCUUCAAAGGAAUUAGAGUAGAUGUUUUGGAAGGAACUAAUUUUAUAAAUUUAAAGUAAAAAAAUUCAAACUAAUCCAGGGUCUACGCUGGACUUAAACCCCUAUCAAACAACAAAACGUAGAAAAAAAUAUCUAUAGAAGCCUUAGUACUUUUCAUAACAACUUGAAUACAAUGAACUUCGGAUCAGUGGGAAGUUGUCUCAGAGGAAAAAAAUCAAUAUCAUCUGAACGAAGUACAGAAACUUACAUCUUUCGUGUUAGAUUAUAUUGAAGUUAAUAAUUUGAUGAAGUAACAAACGUUAUUUGUUUAAAUAAAUAAUUAUUUAUAUAUAAUAGAGUGCAUUUUAUGCAUUUUUGAAGAAAAAAAAAAGUAAUUCAUUACCUGACAUCCGAGUUUGUGGUGGAAUCCAACAACUAAAAUAUGCAAAAUCGGUGGCUUUUCAG